UACGUAGGUGGCAAGCGUUGUCCGGAUUUACUGGGCGUAAAGAGCGCGCAGGCGGUCGUUCAAGUCGCGUGUGAAAGCCCCCGGCUCAACUGGGGAGGGUCACGCGAUACUGAUCGACUCGAAGGCAGGAGAGGGUAGUGGAAUUCCCGGUGUAGUGGUGAAAUGCGUAUAUAUCGGGAGGAACACCAGUGGCGAAGGCGACUACCUGGCCUGUUCUUGACGCUGAGGCGCGAAAGCUAGGGGAGCAAACGGG
RNAcentral lists this ribosomal RNA (253 nucleotides) under uncultured bacterium. Its description in RNAcentral is "partial 16S ribosomal RNA". It matches the Rfam family "Bacterial small subunit ribosomal RNA", at positions 524 to 776 of the family's 1533-position model. The record is from RNAcentral.